UUGAAGUUAAAAUUUGUGUACCAGGUUCCGUAGGUGAACCUGCGGAAGGAUCAUUG
Molecule: ribosomal RNA, 56 nt
Filed under: Saccharum officinarum (sugarcane)
Lineage: Eukaryota; Viridiplantae; Streptophyta; Magnoliopsida; Poales; Poaceae
Description: partial 18S rRNA
Source: RNAcentral